Mytilus trossulus (common blue mussel) is the source of this 279-nucleotide long non-coding RNA. RefSeq lists it as uncharacterized. The record is from RefSeq and is a predicted model, not a curated record. The transcript is spliced from 3 exons. NCBI's taxonomy places the organism in Eukaryota, Metazoa, Mollusca, Bivalvia, Mytilida, Mytilidae.
AGUUUAAAACAAAGAUAUAGCUAAAUAUGAUGUCUACAUAUCUUGUUCACAUACUGAUAGCAAUUGGACAAUAGCCUUCAAAGAAAAUAUGAGAUGUUUAGAGGCAGAAGGUGAUGUGUACGUAGACAUGCAUGUUAGUUUGUUGAAAACGCAAUACACUGCAAAGACAUUUGUGUCUGUGUUGAAGAUGAAUUGUGGUGUGUUCAUCAACAAAUAUUAUAAUAGUGUACUAGAGAUAGACUACUUCGGCAGUUUUUUUCCUAGUUAAAAGGUAAGAGU